AUCCAGUUACAAGGAAGUGAAUCAGAAAGAUCUCGUGAUGAGCCCAUCCUUUACAUUUCAAUGAUGUGUACAUUGCAAUACGAAGAAAGACAAAAUUGAAGAAAUAUUUCAAUAUAAAACUGUGACUCUACGUUGUGGAACGAAAUAAUAAGUGUGGGAAAGAAGAAAUAGUCGCUUUGGUCAUAUUUGACGUCAAAUAUAUCUCGUUUGGGCAAAAAAUACAAGGAACUUGAUACUCUGUGCAGUCCGUACUUGUAUUUUGUUUGGUAUUUUAUUCAUAUGUCACGUUGUUUAUCUCUCACUCUGUGUUCUGUGUUUUGGUGAGGAAAAUGUAAAGCAGAUAGGAGAUAGUUUUCUUUAUUUUCAUUUCAAUUAGUAAUGAUGACGAUUUGGAUUUAACAGAUUGUCAAAAAUGACGAAGAAUUUAAAUAUAUGAUUAAA
Molecule: long non-coding RNA, 441 nt
Organism: Xenia sp. Carnegie-2017
Lineage: Eukaryota; Metazoa; Cnidaria; Anthozoa; Malacalcyonacea; Xeniidae
Exons: 2
Source: RefSeq, a predicted model, not a curated record